Molecule: long non-coding RNA, 1415 nt
Filed under: Capsicum annuum
Lineage: Eukaryota; Viridiplantae; Streptophyta; Magnoliopsida; Solanales; Solanaceae
Description: long non-coding RNA (CANN_LNC012413)
Source: RNAcentral
ACCAGAAGGCUAUAAAAGGCAAAGAAACAAAUAUGCCUACGAAUAAACCUCCUAUCCUUCUAUAAGAAUGAGAAAGCCAGCAUUUGAUUUCUCGAAAAUAUCAAUUAACAACAAGAAAAAUGAUCCGUCUUUAGUCAAACAUAUCCUAUUUCUUACAAGAUAUAGACUAUUGAUACCAAGCUAUGUCAUGUAGACGGGACUACGGGAAGAGAGCUCGGCUAUUUUUCCUCAACGCUUCUUUUUCUCCACGCUCAUUCUGCAUUGCGUCCUGUGCCUUUGGCACUUUGCUGCGUCAUAUUCAUCAUUGGACAGUACAAUAUGGACUUCGCUGGAAAGGACAGAUGUUAACCCCCUUACAUGGUCUUACGACUUUCAGGAGACCUGUAUUUUUGGUAAGCAGUAGCCAUGACAUGGUCGAUUGUAGCCCAAGAGUUCUUACAUAUGUCCAGGCAAACACACCCAAAAGCUCAAUCCUUUGAUUUUGCUCCCAACGCAUUCGUUCUCUACCUUUAUCUUCGCUUUUUCUCAUCUCCCUUCCGCCUUCUUCACCUACAGCAAAAAUCAUCUGUCCGUUUCGUUCCUUCUUUUAAAAAAAUUCACUGGUAAGUUUAUUCGUAUACCCUUUUGAUAUUGGUCUAUGCUUCAUUUUUGUUUCUCUCUAUUGUACUGUUAACUGUAUAAGAAUCAUCCAUCUUAGUUAUCUGUUCCUGGACUGUAAGUUAACAUUUAAUUGAAGAAGCUAAUUUUAGAGCUAGACUCAUUGUAAUGAUGCUAUGAACUAUAUAGUUCUUCGUUCUUUUCGGUUUAUUUGUCUUACUUUCUAUUUUAGUCCGUUUCCCAAAGAAUUUAUGUUUUCUUUUUUGGCAAUUUUUUUAAUUUCUACUUUCCACAUCACAUGUUUAAGACGAUAGAGAUUCAAAUGUCUUAUUAAUUUUCUUUGAUUCUGUGUCAAACAAGACAAGUAAAUUGGAAAGGAGGAAGUAAAUCUUUUUGUGCUGAAGAAUAUGAUUUCAUUGUGAAUAUAUAGAUGUUUCACUAACAAGAGCUUAUUUUUUCCACAGAAGGGUAACAUUUUAUCCAAGAAUCUAUUUUGUUAUUGCCUAACUAUUCUGGAAUUGAGCCUUAGCAGUUAUUGUAUCUGGCCAGUGGAUAGAGGUUGCAAUUUCAAUUUCAUCCGCUAUUUGUUAACCUCAUUUUCAGUUUUCUAUGUAUCUUGGCGGAGAAGAACGUUUUGUGAGCAAACUAUCUGCUUUGAAUUUGUUGAGUUGUCUAUAGAGACAACAACAACAGCAUGUCCACAGUAGUCACACAAGUAGGAUCUGGGAGGGUAGGAUGUGAACAAAAUUUGCCCCUACUUUUGUGGGGGUAGAGAGGUUGUUUCUGGUAGACCCUCGGCUCAAAAUAAGUAAUCGAAG